GUGGGGAAUUUUGCGCAAUGGGGGAAACCCUGACGCAGCGACGCCGCGUGCAGGACGAAGGCCUUCGGGUUGUAAACUGCUUUUAUAGGGGAAGAUGAUGACGGUACCCUAUGAAUAAGCCACGGCUAACUCUGUGCCAGCAGCCGCGGUAAGACAGAGGUGGCAAGCGUUGUUCGGAUUUACUGGGCUUAAAGGGCGCGUAGGCGGUCGGGCAAGUCUGUGGUGGAAUCCCAGGGCUCAACCCUGGAAUUGCCAUAGAAACUGCUUGACUUGAGUCAGCGAGGGGAUGGCGGAAUUCCUGGUGUAGCAGUGAAAUGCGUAGAUAUCAGGAGGAAGGCCGGUGGCGAAGGCGGCCAUCUGGCGCUUGACUGACGCUGAGGCGCGAAAGCGUGGGGAGCAAACAGGAUUAGAAACCCCAGUAGUCC
This 425-nucleotide ribosomal RNA is filed under the name uncultured bacterium. RNAcentral's name for it is "bacterial SSU rRNA". It matches the Rfam family "Bacterial small subunit ribosomal RNA", at positions 354 to 796 of the family's 1533-position model. The record is from RNAcentral.